GAUAGAGUGGAUGUGGAGAGGGUGUUUCCUAUAGUGGGGGAGUCUAGGACCAGAGGACACAGUUAGAGUGGAUAUGGAGAGGAUGUUUCCUAUAGUGGGGGAGUCUAGGGCCAGAGGAAACAGAUAGAGUUGAUGUGGAGAGUAUGUUUCCUAUAGUGGGGGAGUCUAGGACCAGAGGACACAGAUAGAGUGGAUGUGGAGAGGAUGUUUCCUAUAGUGGGGGAGUCUAGGACCAGAGGACACAGAUAGAGUUGAUGUGGAGAGUAUGUUUCCUAUAGUGGGGGAGUCUAGGACCGGAGGACACAGAUAGAGUGGAUGUGCUGGGGGCAGCCACCUACACAGCGAGCCCAUGACUCACCGACCCAGACCCGUCUGUCUUUGCACUGUGGGAGGAAAUCGGAACGCUCUGAGGGAAUCUGAGGGUCACUGGGAGAGAGCGUGCAAACUCCUGACGGGCAGUGGUUGAACUCGAACUCUGAACUUAACUGCUGGCGUUGUCAAGUGGUUCGCUGAUGUGCCAUCCCUGAGGGUGGCAUAGGAUCAUAAGGAAUCGGAGCAGGAUUCAGCCAUCUGGUCCGUCGAGCUUGCCCCGCCAAUCAGUAAGAUCACGGCUGAUCACUACCUAUCUGCCUUCCGCCCAUAACCCUUCAUUCCCCCACUGUGCAAAAAUCUAUCCAACCUUGUCUUAAAUAUAUUUACUGAUGUAGCCUCCACUGCUUCCCUGGGCAAGAGAAUUCCACAGAUUCGCCACCCUCUGGGAAAAGCAGUUCCUCCUCAUCUCUACCCUAAAUCUACUCCCCUAAAUCUUGAGGCUGAGUCCCCUAUUUCUAGUCUCACCUACCAUUGGAAACAACUUUCCCGCCUUUAUCUUACCUAUCCUUAUAGAAACAUAAUUUUCUAUAAUAAUCUCCUCAUAACUUUAAAUGUUUCUGUAAGAUCUCCUGUCUUUCUUCUGAAUUCCACCAACUGCAGUCCCAGGCAACAGUUUCUCCUCCUGGUCUAACUCCCUCAUCUCUGGAAUCAACCUGGUGAACCUCCUCUGCACUGCCUCUAAAGCCAGUAUAUCCUUCCUCAAGUACGGAGACCAGAACUACACACAGUUCUCCAGGUGCGGCCUCACCAGUACCCUGUACAGUUGCAGCAUGGCCUCCCUGCUCUUCAAUUCAAUCCCUCCAGCAAUGAAGGCCAACAUCCCGUUUGCCUUCUUGAUAGCCUGCUGUACCUGCAAACCAAUCUUCUGUGGUUCAUGCACAAGCACUCCCAAGUCCCUCUGCACAGCAGCAUGCUGUAAUCUUUCACCAUUUAAACGAUAAUGUGAUCUUCCAUUUUCCUUCCACAGUGGAUGACCUCCUAGUUACUGACGUUGCAUGCCAUGUGCCAGACCCUUGCCCACACAUUUAAUCUAUCCAUAUCUCUCUGCAAGCUCUCCGUAUCCUCUGAACAAUUUGCUUUCCCACUCAAUUUAGUGUCGUCAGCAAACUUAGAUACACUCUGCUCGUUCCCCUCUUCCAGAUUGUUAAUGUAUAUUGUGAACAGUUGCAGGCCCAGCAUCGGCCCCUGUGGCACACCUCUCACCAUUGAUUACCAACCAGAGAACUACCCAUGCAUCCCAACUCUCUGCUUUCUAUUAGUUAACCAAUCCUCUAUCUAUGCUGAUACAUCACCCCCAACUCUAUACAUCCUUAUCUUAUGGAUAAGUCUUAUCAAAUGCCUACCAGAAAUCCAAGUAUAUAAUGUCCAUCUGUUCCCCUCUAUCCUCUGUGCUCAUUAUAUCCUCAAAGAGCUCCAGUAAGUUUGUCAAACAGGACCUGCCUUUGCUGAAUGCAUUCUGCGUCUGUCUGACGGAUCCAUUUCUUUCCAGAUGCCUCACUAUUUCUUCUUUAAUGAUAGCUUCAAGCAUUUUCUCAGCUUCAGGUGUUAAACUAACUGGGCUCCCCAUCUAUAAUUCCUGACAGAUUUUCUCGUGUGGGCUACAGUUUCCUGCCUUUUGCCUGCACCCUUUUCUGGAACACUGGUGCGACAUUUGCCUUCUUCCAAUCCGCCAGGACCUGCCCAGAGACCAGAGAAUUUUGGACCCUCCAGAAGCAGUAGAGUGGGAAGGAGGAGGAGAAGGCGCCGCACGUCCCGGACACCGCCAUCAGAAGUUGGGAUGACAGUAGGAGCAUCCGCCGUCCGAACCUGACAACCAAAAGCACCAGAUUUAACAGCAUGGGUGAAUUUUCAACCAGAGCACAUCACCUCCUUAACUGCAGAGCUGACCUUCGGACCAGACUCGGUUUAACCUUUUACUGCGAGGGCCGUUGCCCUACUUCCCCUGCACGUGUCCUCAGUGGCACGGCCCAGCUGGCGGUGGGCGGCGCGGUGACGCCAGAACCCAGGGCGGACAAAGCAAUUUGAUGGGGGACAGAGGGUCGGACAUCAUCAGAGGAGGGGAAUGGGAACUCAGUGUUUCAGAUCCCCGGACAAUCGAAUGUCUCUUCCCCCUACUGGGUUCCUCCAGCAACUUAUUUUGACAGAGGACGUGGUGUGUGAGUGUGUGUCUAUCUGUGUACCUUUAAGAUGUGUACUUUUAAGAUAGAGAUGUGGCCACUUGCAACUGUGUAUAUGAGUUCGGGAGAGGGGGGAUGUGUUUAUGGUAUAAGUCCAUAAGACAUAGGACCAGAAUUAGGCCAUUUGGCCCAUCGAGUCUAUUCCACCAUUAAAUCACGACUGCUCCUUUCCUCCCCGUCCUCAGCCUCCUCCCCAGAUUUCUCCCAGUAACCUUUGACGCAUGUCCAGUCAAGAACUUAUCAACCUUUGCCUUAAAUACACCCAACAACUUGGCUUCCACAGCUGCCUGUGGUAAUAAAUUCCACAAAUUCACCACCCUCUGGCUAAAGAAAUUUCUCCACAUCUCCGUUUUAAAUGGACGCUGCUCUAUCCUGAGGCUGUGCCCUCUUGUCCUGGUGUCCCCCACCAUGGGAAAUAUCCUUUCCACAUCUACUCUGUCUAGUCUUUUCAACAUUCUAAAGGUGCCCAGCGAGGGUUAACUACUCUGCUGAAGAGGCUUAUCAUGUCUAUUCUGGGUCAGCUCCCUCACCUUUGGUCCCCACCAGACUCUCAGCUCUCACCAGUGGCUCAUCUGUGUUGUGGAUAGUGUGGAGGGCUGUCAGAGGUUACAGAGAGACAUUGAUAGGAUGCAAAACUGGGCUGAGAAGUGGCAGAUGGAGUUCAACCCAGAUAAAUGUGAGGUGGUUCAUCUUGGUAGGUCAAAUAUGAUGGUAAAAUAUAGCAUUAAUGGUAAGACUCUUGGCAGUGUGGAGGAUCAGAGGGAUCUUGGGGUCUGAGUCCAUAGGACACUCAAAGCUGCUGCGCAGGUUGACUAUGGUUAAGAAGGCAUACAGUGUAUUGGCCUUCAUCAACCGUGGGAUGGAGUUUAAGAGUUGAGAGGUAAUGUUACAGCUAUAAGGACCCUGGUCAGACCCCACUUGGAGUACUGUGCUCAGUUCUGGUUGCCUCACUAUAGGAAGGACGUGGAAUCCAUAGAAAGGGAGCAGAGGAGAUUUACAAGAAUGUUGCCUGGAUUGGGGAGCAUGCCUUAUGAGAAUAGGUUGAGUGAACUCAGCCUUUUCUCCUGGAGUGAUAAAGGAUGAGAGGUGACCUGAUAGAGGUGUAUAAGAUGAUGAGAGACAUUGAUCGUGUGGAUAGUCAGAGGCUUUAUCCCAGGGCUGAAAUGGCUAACAUGAGAGGGCAGUUUUAAGGUGCUUGGAAGUAGGUACAAAGGAGAUGUUAAGGGUAAGUUUUUUACGCAGAGAGUGGUGAGUGCGUGGAAUGGCUGCUGGUGACGGUGGUGGAGGCGGAUACGAUAGGGUCUUUUAAGAGACUCCUGGACAUGUACAGAGCACAGAAAAAUCGAGGGCUAUGGGUAAGCAUAGGUAAUUUCUAAAGUAAGUACAUGUUCAGCACAGCAUUGUGGGCUGAAGGGCCUGUAUUGUGCUGUAGGUUUUCCAUGUUUGUGUCUGUGUCCCUCAUGGUCCUACACACCACAAUAAGGUCACCCCUCAGACUCCUACACCCUAUCUGUGUCCCUCAUGGUUCUACACACCUCUAUAAGCUCACACCUCAGUCUCCUACACCCUAUCUGUGUCCCUCAUGGUUCUACACACCUCUAUAAGGUCACCCCUCAGUCUCCUACACCCUAUCUGUGUCCCUCAUGGUUCUACACACCUCUAUAAGGACACCCCUCAGUCUCCUACACCCUAUCUGUGUCCCUCAUGGUUUUACACACCUCUAUAAGGUCACCCCUCAGCUUACUACACCCUAUCUGUGUCCCUCAUGGUUCUACACACCUCUAUAAGGACACCCCUCAGUCUCCUACACCCUAUCUGUGUCCCUCAUGGUUUUACACACCUCUAUAAGGUCACCCCUCAGUCUCCUACACCCUUUCUGUGUCCCUUGUAGUUCUAUACAUCUCUAUAAGGUCACCCCUCAAUUUCCUAUGCCCCACUGAGGAACAUCCCAAUCUGAUCACCCUCUCUCCAUAUUCAGUCCCUCGAGUCCUGGCGAUGUCUUUGUAAGCCUCCCUGUGCUGUCUUUCUGAACAGGGGUCUGCAACUGUGGCCUCGCACAAUUGCGACAGACUGUCCGGACUCCUGAACGCAGCACCCCGGCGGAUGGAGAGUGCACCAAACACCUUGUGAGAGGAAUCCAUGGUUACAUAUUAACUCCGUACAGAAAGAGAGCUGGGAAAGGUUACAGCUCUCACCCUAUUGCCCCGGGCAAAUCUGUCAAUAAACUAAACGAAUACCAAAGGAUCAGUAACAGACCCAAUGGACUUUGAGCUUUUGGCAGGGUUGUCAUUGGAUUCACCAUGGUCUUGGGUUGGAUCAGAAGGCCAUAUCCAUUCCUAGUGGAAAUAACAUUGGCACAGAAGGCAAAACUGAGCAUAGGAGAGUACAGCUCAGGAACAGGCCAUUCGGCCCACAAUUUUGUGCUGACCCAGCUAAAAAUCAAAUUUAAAACACCCAAACAUUAAUCUCUUCUACCUACACCAUGUCCAUACCUCUCCAUCUUUCUCACGUCCAUGUGCCAAUCCAAAUGGCUCUGAAAAGCCUCUGAUGUAUUUGCCUCUACCAGGCAUCCACCCCUCUCUGAGUAAAAAUGUUACCAGUCACAUCCGCUUUGAAUUGACCUCCUCUCACCCUCAAUGCGUGCCCUCUGGUGUUAGACAUUGCAACCCUGGGAAACAGAUACUCUCCGUCCACUCUGUCUCUGCCUCUCAUAAUCUUAUAAACCUCGAUCAGAUCUCCCCUCAGCCUCUGACACUCCAGAGAAAACAACCCAAGUUUGUCCGGCCUCUCGUGAUAGCACACACCCUCUAAACCAGGCAGCAUCGAGGUGAACCUCUUCUGCUCCCUCUCCAAGGCCUCAACAUCUCUCCGAUAGUGGGGCAACCAGAACUGUGUGCAAUUCUCCAGAUGCAACCUCACUAGAGUUUUAUAAAGUUAUUAUAACCUCUUGACUUUUGAACUCAAUGCUUCGACUAAUAAAAGCAAACAUUCCAUAAGCCUUCUUAACCACCCUAUCGACCUGUGGAGCCACUUUCAAGGAGCUGUCAACUUGGAUCCCAAGAUCCCUCUGCUCAGCAACACCAUUAGGGAUCUUUUCCCUUAAGUAUACUGCCUCCUUGUACUUGCCCCUCCAGUACCCUGUUUUCAUAGAACAGGCCCCUUGACCCACCAUCUGAUUACAGAGAAAUGAGGACGUUGGUACAUUAACAAUGUUUAAAAUGUGUUUGGACAGGUGCACAAACAGGAAAGGCAUUGAGGGCAAAUGAGACCAGGAUAGAUGGACAAUCCCAGUCAGUACAGACCAGGCGGGCUGAAGGGCCUGUUUCUGUGCUGUUGGGAGUGGGGGAGGUGGGAUGGAGAGGAGGCAUCCAUGACUGGUUAAUCUUCUUUCCUGUCCUGAAGGUAGUUAUGCUGAAUAGCGAUGGAUCUGAAGCAGCGCCAGUUUCUUCCUCCACAGACGCUGCCUGUUGUAGGAAAUAAAACAUUACAGCGCAGUACAGGCCCUUCAGCCCACAAUAUUUAACCUACUCCAACAUCAAUCUAACCCUUUCCUCCCACAAAACCCUCCAUCUUUCUAUCAUCCACGUGCCUAUAUAAGAGUCUCUUAAAUACCAUUAAUGUAUCUGCACUACCAUCUCCCAUGGCAGGGCAUCCCACUCUCUCAAAAUUACCUCUGACCCCCCCCCCCCAAAAACUUUCCUCAGCUUAAAUUGUGCCUCCUCCAAAUUAGCCAUUUCCACCCUGGGAAAAAGUCUCUGGCUGUCCUCUCAAUCUAUGCCUCUUACCUUCUUGUACACUUCUAUCAAGUCACCUCUCACCCUCCUCCACUCCAAAGAGCAAAGCCCUAACUCACUCAACCUAACCACAUAAGCCAUGCUCUCUAAUCCAGGCAGCAUCCUGAUAAAUCUCCUUUGCACCCUCUCCAUAGCUUCCACAUCCUUCCUAUAGUGAGGUGACCAGAAUUGAACACAAUACUCCAAGUCUCAAUACUCUAAAUCUCACCAGAGAUUUGUACAGUUGCAACAUGACCUCUCUACUCUUGAACUCAAUACCCCUAUUAAUGAAGCCUCGCAUCCCAUAGGCCUUCUUAAUUACCCUACCAACCUGUGCAGCGACCUUGAGGGAUGUAUAGAUUUCAACCCCAAUGUCCCUUUGUUCAUCUACAUUCUUAAGUAACUGACCAUUAAUCCUGUACUCAGUCUUCUGGUUUGUCCUUCCAAAAUGCAUCACCUCACACUUAUCCGGAUUGAACUCCAUCUGCCAUUUUUCUGCCCAACUCUGCAGCCUGUCUAUAUCCUCUUGUAACCUUCGACCAUCUACAGCUCCAUCCACAACUCCUCCAAUCUUCAUGUCAUCCACAAACUUACUCACCCAUCCUUCCGCCUCUACAUCCAGGUCAUUUAUAAAAAUCACAAAUAGCAGGGGUCCCAGGACAGAUCCCUGCGGCACUCCACUGGUCACCAACCUCCAGGCAGAAUACUUUCCUUCCACAACUACCCUCUGCUUUCUGCCUUUAAGCCAAUUUUUUAUCCAAACAGCCAAGGUUCCAUUUAUCCCAUGCCUCAUGACUUUCUGGAUGAGUCUCUCAUGAGGGACAUUGUCAAAUGCUUUACUAAAGUCCAUGUAGACCACAUCCACUGCUCUCCCCUCAUCAAUUUCUUUUGUUACCUCUUUAAAAAAACUCAAUCAGGCUUGUGAGGCACGAUCUUCCCUUCACAAAGCCACGUUGACUAUCCAUGAGUAGACAGUACUUCUCCAAAUGCUCGUUGAUCCUAUCCUUAAGAAUCCUUUCCAGUAGUUUUCCGACCACUGACGUAAGACUCACCGGUCUGUAGUUCCCAAGUUUCUCCCUAUUACCUUUUUUAAACAAGGGAACUACAUUUGCCAUUCUCCAGUCCUCCAGCACUUCCCCUGUAGCCAAAGAGGAUUCAAAGAUCAUGGCUAAUGCUCCUGCGAUCUCUUCUCUCAAUUCCCACAACAACCUGGGGAGUAUCAUAUCCAGCCCUGGGGAUUUAUCAAUCUUAAUGUUUUUAAGAAGAUCCAGUACUUCUUCUUCCUCAAUCUCCACAUUGUCCAGCACACAGGCCCACUCAACUCGACCUCAUCCUGAUCAAGAUGCUUUUCACUUGUGAAUACUGAAGCGAAGUAUACAUUUAGGACCUCCCCAACCUCCUCUGCCUCCAGGCACAUGUUGCCCUCUUUAUCCUUUAGCCAUGUACAGCCAUCCUCUGCCUUCUAUGUUGCAGGCCAAUUCUGAAUCCACACAGCCAAGAUUCCCUGGAUCUCAUGCCCCAACUUUCAGAACGAGCCUACAUUGUCGAAUGCCUUUCUAAAAUCCGUGUAGAUAUUCGGAUGAAUCGCUCAAU
Molecule: long non-coding RNA, 7915 nt
Organism: Hypanus sabinus (Atlantic stingray)
Lineage: Eukaryota; Metazoa; Chordata; Chondrichthyes; Myliobatiformes; Dasyatidae
Exons: 3
Source: RefSeq, a predicted model, not a curated record